CAAUAUCUUAAAGCGCCAGGACCUUUCUAUUAAUGCUAAGGUCGACGAGGAAGAGGGUUAUCGAAGUAUUCGGCGGAUCCCUCUCGGUGGCUUGUCACCGUAAAGCUUGCUUAAAACCAGAGAGUAAUUUUUGGGACAAAGGUAAAGCUGUCAAGACAA
RNAcentral lists this non-coding RNA (159 nucleotides) under Desulfosporosinus meridiei. RNAcentral describes it as "GlcN6P sequence". It matches the Rfam family "glmS glucosamine-6-phosphate activated ribozyme aptamer". Rfam says of the family: This entry contains a glucosamine-6-phosphate activated ribozyme that is found in the mRNA for GlmS. GlmS is an enzyme that uses fructose-6-phosphate and glutamine to generate glucosamine-6-phosphate. The record is from RNAcentral. Lineage: Bacteria; Bacillati; Bacillota; Clostridia; Eubacteriales; Desulfitobacteriaceae.